UUCUCUCUAGUUGCAGUGGAUGGUCAUUGCAGUGCGUGGGCUUCUCAUUGCGGUGGCUUCUCUUGUUGCUGUGCACAGGUACUAGGUGCUGGGGCUUCAGUAGUUGUCUCACACAGGCUUAGUUGUCCUGGGGCAUGUGGGAUUUUCCCAGACCUGAGACCAAACCCCUGUCCCCUGCAUUGGCAGGUGAAUUCCUAACCACUGAGCCACCACAAAAGCCCAACGUUAGCGUCUAAACCAUAUGCUAUGCUACGUUGCGUCAGUCGUGUCUGACUCUGCAGCCCCAUGGACUGUAACGCACCAUGCUCCCCUGUCCAUGGGAUUCUCCAGGCAAGAAUACUAGAGUGGGUUCAGGGGUUGAACCCACGGCUCAUUAUGUCUCCUGCAUUGGCAAGUGGAUUCUUUACCAUUAGCACCACCUGGGAAACCCAUUUAAACUUUCAAAAAUAAGUGCUUAUUAUAUUCAAGAAAGUAAAUGACAAGAUGGAAAAUUUAGGUGAAGUGAAAACUAAAAAAAAGAACAAAAUGGAAAUACUAGAAUUGAAAAAUAAUAAGUCUUCAGUGAAGGGUUAAAUAAAAAAUUAGAUACAGCUAAAGAGAGACUUAAUCAACUAGAUGAUAGGUUAGAAGAAAAUAUUCAGACUAAAACAUAAAGGAGAAAAAAAGUGAAAAAGGAAAGAGCAUGAGAUGUAUAUGCUAAAACAUUUUACUUUUCCUAUAACUAAAGCCCCACAGGGAGAAGGAAGAGAAUGGGGCUAGAUGACUUUGCACAAGCUACAUAUACUCUUAGCUUCAGCUUCCUUUUUUGUAUAUAGAGGUUUAAUCAUCUACCUAUGGGGUCACUGGAUGGAUUAAAUGAGAUGAUAACAUUUAAAGCAAUAGGUCUAAUACUUUGUACAAGGUGAGUACAGCAGGUGGAAGCUACAGGAUAUUAUCACCAUCGUCAUUGUCAUCAAAAUUAGAAUUCAAGAAGAGUAUGAAGAACAAAGUUAUGUGACUCAACCAGA
Bos taurus (domestic cattle) is the source of this 1007-nucleotide long non-coding RNA. The record is from Ensembl. NCBI's taxonomy places the organism in Eukaryota, Metazoa, Chordata, Mammalia, Artiodactyla, Bovidae.